GCUCCUAAAGGAUAACAGCUCAUCCACUGGUCUUAGGAACCAGAAACUCUUGGUGCAAAUCCAAGUAGCAGCU
Molecule: transfer RNA, 73 nt
Filed under: Caristius macropus (bigmough manefish)
Lineage: Eukaryota; Metazoa; Chordata; Actinopteri; Scombriformes; Caristiidae
Also listed under: 2 other names
Description: tRNA-Leu
Rfam family: tRNA
About the family: Transfer RNA (tRNA) molecules are approximately 80 nucleotides in length. Their secondary structure includes four short double-helical elements and three loops (D, anti-codon, and T loops).
Source: RNAcentral